CCCCUCUCAGGGUCGCAUCUGAAGAGUUUCCAGUACUCUACCGGUCUCGGCUAUGGGAGGGAGAGUCAAGCAGAGGCCUCCCUAUUCCAUUUCUAGCGUGGGCAGUGACUAGCAAGUGGAAGGCAAUCUGCUACAAAU
Molecule: small nucleolar RNA, 138 nt
Organism: Ornithorhynchus anatinus (platypus)
Lineage: Eukaryota; Metazoa; Chordata; Mammalia; Monotremata; Ornithorhynchidae
Source: RefSeq, a predicted model, not a curated record